RNAcentral lists this ribosomal RNA (854 nucleotides) under uncultured bacterium. Its description in RNAcentral is "bacterial SSU rRNA". It matches the Rfam family "Bacterial small subunit ribosomal RNA", at positions 8 to 852 of the family's 1533-position model. The record is from RNAcentral.
AGAGUUUGAUCCUGGCUCAGGAUGAACGCUAGCUACAGGCUUAACACAUGCAAGUCGAGGGGAAACGAUAUUGGAAGCUUGCUUCCGAUAGGCGUCGACCGGCGCACGGGUGAGUAACGCGUAUCCAACCUGCCCACCACUUGGGGAUAACCUUGCGAAAGUAAGACUAAUACCCAAUGAUAUCUCAAGAAGACAUCUGAAUGAGAUUAAAGAUUUAUCGGUGAUGGAUGGGGAUGCGUCUGAUUAGCUUGUUGGCGGGGUAACGGCCCACCAAGGCGACGAUCAGUAGGGGUUCUGAGAGGAAGGUCCCCCACAUUGGAACUGAGACACGGUCCAAACUCCUACGGGAGGCAGCAGUGAGGAAUAUUGGUCAAUGGGCGAGAGCCUGAACCAGCCAAGUAGCGUGCAGGAUGACGGCCCUAUGGGUUGUAAACUGCUUUUAUAAGGGAAUAAAGUGAGUCUCGUGAGGCUUUUUGCAUGUACCUUAUGAAUAAGGACCGGCUAAUUCCGUGCCAGCAGCCGCGGUAAUACGGAAGGUCCGGGCGUUAUCCGGAUUUAUUGGGUUUAAAGGGAGCGUAGGCCGGAGAUUAAGCGUGUUGUGAAAUGUAGAUGCUCAACAUCUGCACUGCAGCGCGAACUGGUUUCCUUGAGUACGCACAAAGUGGGCGGAAUUCGUGGUGUAGCGGUGAAAUGCUUAGAUAUCACGAAGAACUCCGAUUGCGAAGGCAGCUCACUGGAGCGCAACUGACGCUGAAGCUCGAAAGUGCGGGUAUCGAACAGGAUUAGAUACCCUGGUAGUCCGCACGGUAAACGAUGGAUGCCCGCUGUUGGUCUGAAUAGGUCAGCGGCCAAGC